GAGCAACCACUGUCAAGUAAAAAAUAGUCAGGUAUGAGUCCUUCCCUUAAGCUUCCUCUUUCAUAUUUCUUUCCUUUAGUAUGCCCUUUCUUUUUUUUGUUCAAAGUUUCAGCUUCUUCAUAGAUCCCCAUUUUAAGUUGUUUCUCAUGAAGGCUAAAAAUUUUGGUAGAGGCAAUGGAACCACUUUAUCUGUUGGGGAUAUCAGAACUAAUGUAAUUGUGAGGUGCUUUAGCUCUACGCCUCUUGACUCUGGAAAGUAAGAAAUUGACCCUUUGGCUGGUUUGUGGUAAGGGAACUGGCUUCCUCCUAGUUUGAAUAUUCUUGUAAUGACAAUAUGGAUCUGUGCUUCCAUGAGACAACUUCUUGUCGGAGCUUGCUUGCCUAAUCCAAAAGUACAUUAUAAGCAGCCUCCACUUUUUUUUAUCCAAAUUCUCGUCUACAGGCUUUCCAUCAUCCCGAAAGCUAGAAUCAUCAACAACAUGACCAAAUAUAUCAACAUUGGAGGUCCAAAACACAUACAAGAAUAACAUGACUCCUUAUUUAACAUUCCAAAACUCAAUCGUUUUACUGUGUCCAACUUUUGUUGAGGGAACUCUAGAAUGAAUCUAAUAGAACCACUCUUAAAAACUCUGAGAGGAACGGUGAAAAAUGCCAUAUCUCGCUCAAAUAAUUGGCCCCAAUAAUUUACCUUCACACUGUCUCUACCAUAACGAAUGGCAUGCACACUUUUUUCAAAAAUAGUAGCCACAUUUUGAGUCAGGGCAUCAACUAAUAUUCCGUUACCACCUGGCAAGAAGCAGUGAUCCCCUCCCAUAUCAUAGGGGUCAUCUUGGUCCCAAACUAUUAAGGAAAGCUGUGAAAGCAAACCUGCAUUUGCAUAUUCCAAAUUUUCCAGCUACUAGUUAAACAAGCCAAUCUCCUCAACAUUCAUUGCAACACCAAAAUCCUUUCGCAAAGUCUCCAAUGUCUCUACCAGAGAACAACCUGAGAUAACUCUUGCCUAGCCUUUCUUGCCUUUUCCAAAAGUUCGUUGUAAGAAGCCUCUACUUUUUAUCCAAAUACUCGUCUACGGACUUUCCAUCAGCAUGAUAGAGUGGACAUUGGUGUUUCACCUUAUGAAGUGUAUACGAAAUAUGUUGCACCAAAAAAUCAAGUGGAUUCCCCAGUGUACCUUUCAAAACACUCCCUCCUACAUUAACAACUGCCACACUAUUCCCUCCUUCCAUCUUUUUUGUAUACACCCUUUUACCUCUACGAUUUUGUCCCUCCAAAAUUAUCACACCCCGAGAAUACCCCUAGACAUAACACAAGACAUAGGAUCACGAGUGACCCCAAGGUAACCCUGAGUCUGGCAUAUAUGAAGCAUACUGAAAAUAACUGAGUAAAAAAUAUACUAUGCGGAAGUUAAAAGAGUGGAUAUCUAAAAUUGGGGAAAAACCCAACUAGUCUGAACAUAUAAAGCAUACUAAGAGUUUAGUGAUAACUAAAAACCACUUAACUACUCAAGAUGAAUCUAUUACUAUGUCUGAAAAAAGCCUCUACUAAAUUGAGUUGCUAGGACAUGCCUUCAGUUAACUCUAACUAAACUGAAAACUGGAAAUAAAAACUAAAAUGGAAAGCAUGUCUAUAGUCCUCGAAGUAUGAGGACUCACCACUGAAGCUGCUGAAGUCGGAUCGAGAAUCGGUCUAAGCGUGAUCUGGAUGCUGAGUGCCCUAACUUAUAUCAUGAAAUGAUGUAGCGCAAAGUAUGCGUCAGUACUUGGAAUGUACUGAGCAUGCAAGAUAUAGUUACUAAUCUGAAUAAAAGAUAUAUAAGCUGAACAAUACAUAACUGAGCAAUGAUGUAAUCUAAGAAAAGAUAUAUUUACUGAAAUAUAACUGAAAAACUAAAGUGAAUGCAAUGACUAAGUACUAAUCAUGAAGAUAACAUGUUGAAUUGAUUACUGAAGUAAAUGACGAAAAACUUAGUCAAUGCACCAAGACUCUGACUGUGGGAGCUACUAUUAACCGACAUAAAGCACGUGAGCUAAACGUGGAGUCUGAUGUAUACUCCCCAUCGAGAGGACUCAAUAUACCUUGCCAGGGGUAUAAAGGCAUGACUGUGGUGUGAUCACUAAUAUUCAUGCCCAACAGAGGGGACUUAUAAUCCUACACAAGCAUGUAGUUCUGGGACAAUGAGGGUACGCUGAACCCUAGUCCAACUCGGUGCUAAGUCUACUCCCAACUAAAUACAUACAAAGCUAAAAUGCACUAAAUACUGAAUAGCUCAAAAUACUGACAUGCUAACUGAUAAUGAAACAUUUAUAUACUAAGAAUGUGACAUUCGAAGUCUGGAGUCUGAUUUUCUGUUUAACAGACCUAGUAAGUAUAAUUCAUGAACUAAGAGAAUUUACACAAACUAGGGUUCUGAGUUUUAUACAAGGAAUUAAGCAACAUUUCCAAGAAAAUAUCUUUUUUAGAUUAUGGAUACUAUAGCAGCUGAAAUCACCAUAAUUCCCAAGAUUUUACAAACCCUUGGUCCAAACAAGUUUUAUGGAACAAGGAACUGACUGAUUUCUAGGGAUCUAGUGGAUGAAAGGAAUCCAGUAGUGAAUCCCACAUGCUGGUGACCAAAUAUACGAAUAAAUCCUUUGGAUUUCAGGGCUGAACUUUGAAGAACACUGCUGCUUAAUCUUCAAAGAAACUGGCGCCUCUGUCUUUUAUUUUCAUUCUAAUUUGGAUGAUUUUUGGAGAAUGAGGGUUCUGGGUAUGUCUGAAUAGGUUAUUAGGCCCCGAUUGAGUAAAACGACAUAGUUUAAGUGCCCCAAUCUAUAAGGAAAGGACAAACACGUCCCUACUUUAAAGCUGACAAUGUGCCACUCAAGAGUGGACUGAUGCUUCGUCGUUUGAACCACUGCCCGUCAACUAGGUCAUGGUUCAUGGCCUGCCUGACAGGGCUUCACUAAAAUUAGCAUAACCUUUUACUCCAAUCUUUGAAUUUAGCAAACUUGGUGGCGUUGGAAAGAUGAUUCAAUUAUCUUUAAUUUGAUAGGUAAUGAGCCACUUAAUUUAUUUUGUGCUAAAAUAUAUGACUAUCUGAAGUUGACCCAACAACCAUUUUCCUCUAAAUAGCUGCUGACCCUCACCUACGGCCAGCCGUACAGUCCAUAGGUCUAACCACGAAUCGUACAUGCCGGCCACGGGUGUGAUUUGAGACCACAGAGUCUUGGACCCCAAUGACGAGACCCCACCUAUGGUCCGUGGGUCCAUCAACAGACCGUGGACCACGACCGUAUGUCUCAUCUUUUGAUCCUGAAAUUCCCCUAAGUCUAGGACUCAACGUUGGGACUUUACCUACGGUAUGUGGUCUGACACAUAGUCUGUCGAUGGAUUCCAUUGGUUCUGACACCAGUCCCUGGAAAGCUUGAUUUUUCUAUCUUCUCGAAUCAGAGGUGUUACAAUAUCUCCCCCUUGGGAACAUUCAUCCUCGAAUGAAGUCUAAACAAGUUGAGUAUGGAGGGAAGGAGCUGCAAUCCCUACCACUAAGUACUAGAAACUGAUAUCUAACUGAACUGAGUUCCAUGAACAUGCAAAUAUGCUGAUAUGCAAGAAUAACUGAGGGAAUAAGAGACUGAGACUGAAAUACACAAAAGUAAACUGAGAGACUAGAGAGGAACUAUUACUUCAAGCUGAAACAGAAUAGGAAUAAAAGAGGUGUGGAUACUUGGCUAUCAUGGAUGCUUCUUCUUUCCAAGUAGGUCCUUCUACGGAUUGACUCCUCCACAAAACCUUUAUCGAAGCCACUUCCUUAUUUCUCAACCUACGAACUUGACAAUCAAGAAUUUCAACUGGCACCUCUUCAUAAGUGAGACUAUCCUUCACAACCACACUCUCUAAUGGUACUAUCGAUGCUAGAUCACCCACACACUUUUUCAACAGGGAAAUGUGAAAGAAUAGAUGAACCGCUGCUAGUUUUGUUUGCAACUCUAACUCAUAAGCCACAUUACCAACCUUUUUUUGGAUUUAGUAUGGACCUACAUAUCUGGGACUGAGCUUUCCUUUCUUGCCAAAUCUCAUCACCCCCUUCAUAGGUGACACCGUCAGGAAAACCCAAUCAUCAAUUUCAAACUCUAAGUCCCUUCUCCUCACAUCUGCAUAGGACUUCUGACGACUUUGAGCUGUCUUGAGGCUAUCUCUGAUGAGUUGAAAUUUCUCCAUAGCCUUACGAACGGAAGCUGGCCCAAUCAAGACUGAUUCACCUACUUCAAACCAACCAAUUGGAGACCUGCAUCUACACCCAUAUAGUGCCUCAUACGGGCCCAUCUGAAUACUAGAAUGAAAGCUAUUAUUAUAUGUGAACUCUAUGAGAGGUAGGUGAUCAUCCCAACUACCCUUGAAAUCGAUCACAUAAGCUUUCAACAGGUCCUCUAAGGUCUAAAUGGUACGCUCUGCCUGACCAUCUGUUUGUGGAUGAAAUGUUGUACUGAGAUUUACCUGAGUAUCAAGACCUUUCUAAAAGGAUUUCUAGAAUGAGAGGUAAACUAAGGACCUCUAUCUGAGAUGAUAGACAAGGGAACCCCAUGCAACCUAACUAUCUCAUUGAUGUAGAGUUUGGCAUAGUCCUCCGUUGAAUCUGUAGUCUUGACAGCCAAGAAGUGAGUGGACUUAGUGUCUCUAUCCACUAUCACCCAAAUGGAGUCAUGCUAUCUGCGAGUACGAGGUAAACUCGUAAUGAAGUCCAUGUUUAUCAUUUCCUACUUCCAUGUAGGAAUGUUAAUCUCUUGAGUCAUACCUCCUGGUUUUUGAUGUUCUACCUUAACCUGUUGAUAGUUAGGACACUUAGCCACAAAGUCUACUAUGUCAUUCUUCAUGUCGUUCCAGCAAAAGAAUUUCCUGUAGAUCACGGUACAUCUUAGUGGCAUCUGGAUGAAUGGAAUACCUGGAGUUAUGAACUUCUGUAAGGAUCUGCCGCCUCAACUCACCCAUAUUAGGAACACAUAACCGAUUCUGGUACGAAGCACACCAUCUCCCCCUUGGGAGAAAACCUCAACAUUCUGCUGAUGAACUGUACCUUUCAACUGAAGUAAUAUAGGAUCACUGUCGUGCUUUUCCUUAACCUUCGCUAUCAAUGAAGAUUCUGAUCCAUUCUGAACUAUCACACCACCAUCUGAUGUGUUCGUAAGGCAAACUCCUAAGUGAGCAAGCCGGUGAACAUCUUUGGCUAACUCUUUCUUUUCUUCCUCAACAUGUUCUACACUACCCAUAGACAGUCUGCUGAGAGUAUCAACCACUACAUUGGCCUUACCCGGAUGGUAAAACACAUUCAUGUCAUAGUCUUUGAGGAAUUCAAGCCAUCUCCUAUGACGAAGAUUUAACUCUUUUAAGGUGAACACAUACUGGAGGCUCUUAUGAUCUGUGAACACAUCAACAUGAACACCAUACAAGUAAUGUCUCCAAAUCUUUAGGGCAAAUACUAUGGCUGUAAGUUUAAGGCCAUGAUUCAGGUAAUUCUUCUCGUGGACCUUAACUUGUCUAGAAGCAUAAGCUAUGACCUUACCUCGCUGCAUCAACACACAACCUAGGUCGACCUUAGAGGCAUCACAAUAAAUCACAUAACCAUCUGAACCAUUUGGUAGAGUCAAGACGGGAGCUGUAGUCAACCUAGUCUUUCAGUUUUGAGAAGCUUUUCUCACACUCAUCUAACAAUUGAAAUUUGAACUUCUUCUGAGUCAACUUGGUCAAUGGGGAAGCUAUGGAUGAAAAUCCUUCAACAAACCUCCUGUAAUAACCGGCCAAACCCACGAAACUUUUGAUAUCUGUUGGAGAGAUGGGUCUAGGCCAGUGCUGUAGUGCCUCAAUUUUUGGAGAAUCCAUUCAGAUCCCUUCGCUGGAUACCACAUGACCAAGGAAAGUGAUAGAUUGUAACCACAAUUCACAUUUGGUGAACUUAGCAAAUAGCUGGCGAUCUUUGAGAGUUUGUAGAACAACUCUCAGAUGAGUCGCAUGCUCCUCAUCACUCUGAGAAUAAAUAAGGAUCCAUCAAUAAAGAUGAUAACGAACAAGUCCAAAUAUUGUUUGAACACCCUGUUCAUUAAGUCCAUGAAAGCUGCACGGGAAUUUGUUAGUCCAAAAGACAUAACUACAAAUUCAUAAUGACCAUACCGAGUUCUAAAGACUGUCUUUGGAAUGUCACUAUCUCUGACUCUGAGCUGAUGAUAGAUGGAUAUGAGGUAUGUCUUAGAAAAGUAACUAGCACCCUGAAGUUGGUCAAACAAGUCAUCAAUCCUAGGGAUAUGAUAUUUAUUCUUGAUCGUGACUUUUUUCAACUACUGAUAGUCAAUGCACAUUCGUAGAGAACCAUAUUUCUUGCGCACAAACAACACUGGAGCACCCAAUGGAGAGAUACUGGGUCUGAUGAAGCCUUUAUCUAGAAGGUCUUUCAACUGCUAUUUCAACUUCUUAAGCUCGGCUGGAGCCAAUCUUUAAGGAGGAAUCAAAAUAGGUUGGGUAUCUGGGAGGAGAUCUAUUCUGAAGUCGAUUUCCUUUUCUGGAGGAACUCUGGGAAGAUCUUUUGGAAACUCAUUUACUACUGGGACUGACUCAAGAGUUGGGGUUUCAAAGAAUAAAUCCUUAACUCGAACUAGAUGAUAGAUAUACCCUUUGGAGAUCAUCUUCCUGCCUUAAGGUAAGAGAUAAAUCGACCUAUAGGUAGUGAGCUACUACCCUUCCACUCUAAGACCGGAUCGUUUGGAAACUGAAACCGAACGAUCCUAGUUCUACAAUCGACUUAGGCAUAACAGGAAUGUAACUAAUCCAUGCCUAGAAUGAAAUCGAAAUAUACCAUUUCUAACUCUACAAGAUCUGCUGAGGUGACUUUCUGGAAAAUUAUGACAGGGAAAUUUCUGUAUACCUGUCUAGCUAUACUAGGUCACCAACUGGAGUACAGACUGAGAAGGGUUCUGAGAGAGUUUCUAGACUGACAUCGAAGUUUACUUUUAUAUAGGGAGUUACAAAAGACAGUGUAACCUCUGGAUCUAACAAUGCAUAAACAUCCGAAUGAAAGACUCGUAAUGUUCCAGUGACCACAUCAGGAGAAUCUUCCUGGUCCUGGCUAGCUUGGAGAGCAUACAACCUAUUCUGGCGCUGAUCGCCACCUGUACCAGAUGAGGCACCCUGCUGAGUGAGGCGACCUGCUAGCGCUGUUGAAGUAGUAGACUGAGCCUUGUUACCUCCUUGUCCUUGCCUGGCAGAAGGGAAAUCCCUUAACCUAUGACCAGACUUGACACACCUAAAGCACCCUUCCAUGUUUUCCAGACACUCGCCCGGAUGGUUCUGACCACACUUUGGGCAAGUUGGUAAAGUUCUGUUACAUGAAGUGCUAUCCUCUGACUUAGAGCCUCAUGCCCUACCUUUCAGAUCCUGUCCAAAUCUGGGGAUGAAGCACUAGCUGAUGAAGGUGCUAGGGUUGUAGUCCUUUGCUGAAACUAUGAGUGAUUCCCACCGCCCGACUUUUGUUGUGAGUAUUCAUAAUUUCCUAUUCUGGCCUUUUUGUUAUCCUUAAUCAUUUCCCUAAGAUUAUCUCCCUCAACCUGCUGAGCAUUAGUCAUUAUUCUGGAGAUAGCCAUAUCCCCUAGAAGCAUAACAUUCCUGCACUCGGUCUCACCAGAUCAGAUACCCCAAACAAGAACUUACUCAUUUGUGCCCUUGGAUCGGCAACUAUGUGGGGAGCAUACCUGGAGAUCUGGGUGAACUUCACCUCAUAUUCUUGGACCGACAUUGAACCCUACUUCAAGUUCAAAAACUCUUGUGCCUUAGCUUCUCUCAACUCCCUUGGGAAGAACCUGUCUAGGAAAGCUCCUAUAAAACAAUCCCAAGUUACAAGAGCUGCAUCUGCACUCCUCUUAUCUUUCCACUGCAUGAACCAAAUAUGAGCAACAUUCUUGAGUUGAUAGGAUGCUAACUCAACACUCUCAGUACCAGUCACUUGCAUUACUCGAAGAAUCUUGUUAACCUCAUCAACGAAGUUCUGUGGGUCCUCACCAACCUUUGACCCUAGAAAUUCUAGCAAUUCAUAGGAGCAAAGUCUCAAACCCUAGAUGUAGCUGAUCCACCAUUAAUGUUUGUAGAAACUGUAGCCUGGUGAUUGUUUUGAUUGGCCACACUCUGAUCCAAGAGUUGGAUCGCAUUUUGAAAUUCUGCAUUCGUAACCUCAUGGUUCGGGAUGGGAGUCUUGAACCUAAUUCUCUGAUACCAAGUUUUUCACGUCUCGAGGCUACCACUAGACGUAACACAGGACCUAGGAUCACGAGUGACCCCAAGCUAACUCUAAGUCUGACAUAUAUCAAGCAUACUGAAAAUAACUGAGUAAAACAUAUACUAUGCGGAAGCUAAAAUAGUGAAUAUCUGAAAUGGGGAAAACCCAACUAGUCUGAAUAUAUAAAACUUACUAAGAGUUUAAUGAUAAAUGACAACCACUUAAAAACUCAAGAUGGAUCUAUUACUAUAUCUGAAAAACCUCUACUGAAUUGAGUUGCUGGGACAUGCCCCCAGUUAACUCUAACAAAACUUAAAACUGGAAAUAAAAACUAAAAUGGAAAGCAUGUCUUUGUCCUUGAAGUAUGAGGACUCACCACUGAAGCUACUGAAUUCGGAUCGAGAAUUAGAUCUAAGCGUGAUCUAGAUGCUGAGUGGCUGAACCUAUAUAAUGAAACGAUGUAGUGCAAAUUAUGCGUUAGUACUUGGAAUGUACUGAGCAUGCAGGAUACAGACACUAAGAUGAAUAAAAAAUAUAUAAGCUGAAUAAUACAUAACUGAGCAAUGAUGUAACGUGAGCAAAUAUAUAAAUACUGAAAUAUAACUGAAAAACUAAACUGAAUAUAAUGACCAAGUACUAAUCAUGAAGAUAACAUGCGGAACUGAUUACUAAAGUAAAUGCUGAAAAACCUGGUCAAUGUACUAAAAGUUUGACUGUGGGAGCUACUAUUAACCGACAUAAACCACGUGACCUAAAUGAAGAGUCUGAUGUAUACGCCUCAUCGAGAGGACCCAAUAUACCUUGCAGGGGUAUAAAGGCAUGACUGUGGCGUGAUCACUAAUAUUGAUGCCCAACAGAAAGGACUUAUAAUCUUACGCAGGCACGUAGCUCUUGGACUAUGAGGGUACGCUGAACCCUAGUCCAACUCGGUGCUAAUUCUACUCCCAACUGAAUACAUACAGAGCUAAAAUGCACUAAAUACUGAAUAGCUCAAAAUACUGACAUGCUAACUGAGAAUGCAACAUUUAUAUACUGUGAAUGUGACAUUUGAAAUUUGGAGAAUGAUUUUCUGUUUAACUAACCUAGUGUAUAUAGUUCAUGAACUAAGAUAAUUUACAUAAACUAGGGUUCUGAGUUUUAUACAAUGAAUUAAGCAAUGUUUCAAAGAAAAAAUGUUAUUUAGAUUAUGGAUACUAUAGCAGCUGUAAUCACCAUAAUUCCCAAGAUCUUACAAACCCUAGGUCUAAACAAGUUAUGUGGAAUCAAUGAACUGACUGAAUUCUAGGGACCUAGUGGAUGAAUGGAACCCACUAGUGAAAUCCACAUACCUGGUGACGAAAUCUACGGAGAAAUCCUUUGGAUUUCGGCGUUGAACUUUGAAGAACACUACUGCUUGUUGUUGAAAGAAACUGGUGCCUUUUUCUCUUCUUUUCGUAUAAUUUGGAUGAUUUUUGGAGAAUAAGGGUUCUGGGUAUGUCUAACUAGGUUAUUAGGCUUAGACUGAGUAACAUGGCAUAGUUUAGGCAUCAUCGACGUAGUUUAAGUGCCCCAAUGCAUAGGGAAAGGACAAAAAUGACCCUAACUUAAAGCUGCUGAAGUGCCACUCACGAGUGGACUGACAGGAUGUAUUUGAAUCACUGCCCAUCAACGGGGUCAUGGUUCGUGGCCUACUUGACAGGGCUUCACUAAAACGAGCAUAACUUCUUACUUCAAACUUGGACUUUAGCAAACUCAUUGGCGUUGAAAAGAGGAUUCAAUAAUCUUUAAUUUGAUAGGUCAUGGGCCACCUAAUUCAUUUUGUGCUAAAAUAUAUGACUUGUUUGAAGUUGACCCAAUAAUCAUUUUCCUCUAAAUAGCUGCUAACCCUUUCCUACGGCCAGACCUACGGUUCGUAGGUCUAACCACAGACCGUACAGGUCGGUCGUAGGUGGGAUUAGAGACCACUAAGUCUUGGACCCCAAUGAUGGGACCCCAUCUAUGGUCUGUGGGUCCAUCAACGGAUCGUGGACCACGACUGUAGGUCUCAUCUUUUGAUGCUAAAAUUCCCUUUAAGUUUGGGACUCAACAAUGGGAUCCCACCUAUGGUCUGUGGUCUGACACACGGUCCGUCGGUGGCUUCCGUUGGUUCUGACACCAGAUCCUAGAAAGCUGCCUUUUCCAUCUUCUCGAAUUAGAGGUGUUGCAAAAACAAUAACCUCAAACCCAAAUAACAUCAAUUGCCUUGCAGCCGCUAACCCAGAAAGACGUACCCCGAUAAAAAUCAGUCUGCCUUUACUUGGCUCAGCUGGAAUCCUAAUUUUGAUGGCAAUGCCACCACAAAAGUAAUAUACCUAUAUGAUAACUAAUAGUUAUAGGCUGAAUCCAAUAACCCACUACAACAUUUAGGUAUAACAUCACCAAACAUACCCUUCGUCACCCAAAUCGACAUAUUUUCAUGCCAUUUUGUAAUAAUGUGAUUCCUAAUUAUAAUAUAGUAACAUUGUUCUAUCCCGCCAACUAUACUAACAACCCCAACUUCACUUACUUCAUCUAUUAACGAGUCAUACGCAAACCCAUCCAUUAACGUGACUAAAGCCUCAUAAGUUGGCUCUUUAUUUAAACAAAUAAUCUCAUCCGAAACAACCCCCUUUCUCGAAUUCUUACAUCUAACCACUUUAGAAUCAACAUUUCUAAAAGAAAAAUCUGAUUUUUUCACUCGGGUUUUGCUAACUUUACCUGAAGAAGAUGAAGAAACCAAUGCAGACUGUUAUUCAUAUAUAUUACCGAGAAAACCACUGGAUACCUAAUCCAAAAACUGUUUACUAUCUGCCCUACCUUGUCUUCUCUUCAUGGGUAUAGAGAUAUGAUGGAAUUGUUUUGGGAUUGAACCAGAAUUAGGGUUAGGAUUAGAAUUUCGGAAGUGAAUUGAAAUUGGGAGUAAAACUAUUGUUCAUGUUUGAGUUAGACAAAUGAAUUGGGAAUUGGGAAUUGGAGAGGAAUUUUAUUGAUCUAAAUUUAAGCAUUGGUGAUAAAAUUGGGGUUGGUGUCACUAGCUCUAUUUCUACCCGUCUAAAUUCUAGUAUUGGAGGAAUAAUAUUGAAUGAUGGUAGCUCUAUCCAUGCUUCAACUACUUUUGAAGAUAGCAUGGGUACAUGUGCUCUGUCUUUCAGCGCAAAUCAUGGGGGUUGGUAAAAGACGAUAUUGAAGAAAUUCACGUUGAUGUUACAUGUACUCGAUAAAUACAUCCAUGUCAAUUUCCUGUAUGUGCACUUUUUCUGAAAUAACUCGUUAAAGAUUUCUACAACAGCUCAUUCUGCACUCUCUCAAGAAAUUUAGUCUCACUACUAAAGUGAAGAUGAUGAGGUUCUUCGUUGUCCUCUUUUUUUUUUUAUAGCAUAGUCAAUGAGAACUAUAAUAUAUUUUGUGUUAUUGCACUGUAAGAGCUCUGUUUUAAAAAACACCUAGAUUUAUGACGGUGUGAUUACAGUUAACAGAUCUGAUUAUCAACCUUGAUGCUGUGGCUUGCAGGUGAUUAGAAUCAAAUUAUAGGUGACAAUCAACUCUUUUGCUCAUUGUCUCCAAGGUCUAUACAUAUUUAAAUAAUCAAACAGUGGGUUGAAACUGGAGGAAGAAAGACCCGAUUUAAUAGGUAAGUUCUUGGUGAAACUCUUUCUCCCUAGUCCAAGUGAGAGGAAAAUGAAAUUAGUGCACUGAUAGCGAAUAUCGACCCACAAAAGUGUAUUUGAGCAGUUCUUUCUUUUUAUAAUGAGGAUCGAACUAUGUACUUUAAUAUUGUGCAUGUCAAUCCAUGAGAAAGAUUUUUCUAUUGCUAGCAGAUUAACAGGUAACGAAGUCCUUUUACAUAUAUGCUCAAUAAUGAUAAAGAGCACAUUCAGCGCACUCUUCAAUGGGAGUCCUUUCAGAUCUUGAACGUGCCACACAUAAUGUGCUCUCUAUCAUUAUUGACCAUAUAUGUAAAAAGACUUUGUUACCUGUUAAUCUUCUAACAAUAGCAAAAUCUUUCUCAUGGAUUGACAUGCACAAUAGAAAAGUACAUAGUUUGAUCCUCAUUAGAAAAAUAAUGAACUGCUCGAAUAAUAUUUUGUGGAUCGAUAUUCGCUAUCAGUGCAUUAAUUUCAUUUUCCUCUCACUUGGACAAGGGAGAAAGAUCUUCACCAAGAACUUAGAUACCUAUUAAAUCGAGUCCUUUCUUCCACCAGUUUCAACCCACUGAUCGAGUUGUUAAAUAUGUACAACUCUUGGAGACAAUGAGCAAAAGAGUUGAUUGUCACCUAUAAUCUGAUUCUAAUCACCUGCAAGCCAGAUCUGUUAACUGUAAACGCACCUUCAUAAAUCUAGGUGCUUUUUAAAACAUAACUCUUACAACACAAUCACACAAAAUAUAUUGUAAUUCUCAUUGACUAUGCUGUAAAAAAGAGGACAACGCAGUAUCUCAUCAUCUUUACUUUAGUAGUGAGACUAAAUUUCUUGAGAAAGUGCCAUAUGAGUUGUUGUUGAACUCUUUAACACGUUAUUUCAGAAAAAGUUCGCAUACAUGAAUUGACAUGAAUCUAUUUAUUGAGUAGAUAUAACAUCAAUGCGAAUUUCAUCAAUAUCAUCUUUUACCAAGCACCAUGAUUUGAGCUGAAAGACAAAGCAUAUGCACCCGUGCUAUCUUCAAAAGUAGUUGAAGCAUGGAUAGAGCUACCAUCAACCAAUAUUCUUCCUCCAACACUAGGAUUAAGAGGGGUAGAAAUAGAGCCAAUGACUCAAACCCCAAUUUUAUCACCAAUGCUUGAAUUUAGAUAAAACAAUUCCUCUCCGAUUCCCAAUUCAUUUGUCUAAUUAAAACCAGAACAGUAGUUGUACUACCAAUUUCAAUUCACUUCCAAAAUUCUAAUCCUAACCCUAAUUCCGGUUCAAUCCCAAAAUAAUUCCAUCAUAUAUCUAUCCACAUGAAGAGAAGACAAGGUAGGCUAGAUAGUAAACAUUCUUUGGAUCAGGUCUCCAGUGGUUUUCUUGACAAUAUCAAUGAAGAACAAUCGAUAUUGGUUUCUUUAUCUCGUUCAGUUAAAGUUAGCAAAACCCGAGUGCAAAUUUUAGAUUUUUCUUAUAUAAAUGUUGAUUCUAAAGUGGUUAGAAGUAAGAAUUCGAGAAGGGGAGUUGUUUAGGAUGAGAUUGUUUGUUUAAAUAAAGAGCCAACUUCUGAGGCUUUAGUUGCAUUAAUGGAUGGGUUUCCGUCUGACUCGUUAACAGAUGAGGAAAUGGAAGUUGAAGUUGUUAGUGUAGUUAGCGGGAUAAAACAAUGUAACUAUAUUUUAAUUAGGAAUCACAUUAUUACAAAAUGGCGUGAAAACAUGUCGAUUUGGGUGAAGAAGGAUAUGUUUGGUGAUGUUAUACCUAAACGGUGUAGUGGGUUAUUGGAUUCUGCCUAUAAAUUUUUGUUAUCAUACGCGUAUAUUAAUUUUGGGGUGGCGCUGGCUAUCAAGAAUAGGAUUCCAGCUGAGCCAAGUAAAGACAGUGAUUUUUAUCUAGGCAGGUCUUGCUGGGUUGGCGGCUGCAAGGAAACUGAUGUUAUUUGGGUUUGAGGUUAUUGUUUUGGAGGGAUGAAAGCGUAUAGGUGGAAGGUGUAUAAAAAAAAUAUGGAAGGAGGGAAUAAGGUGAAAGUUGCUGAUCUAGGAGGGAGUGUUUUGACUGGCAUGAAAAUUGCAGUAUACACUUCAUAAGAUGAGCGACCAAUGUCCACUCUAUCGUGUUGAUGGAAAGUCCGUAGAUGAGUAUUUGGAUGAAAAAUUAGAUGCUGCUUACAACGAACUUUUGGAAAAGGAAAGCAAGGUCAGACAAAAGUUAUCCUAGGUUGCUUCUCUUGGAGAGGAAUCAAAGACUUUGUGAAAGGAUUUUGGUAUUGCAAUGAAUGAUGAGGAGAUGAGCUUGUUUAACUAGUAUCUGGCAAAUUUUAAAUAUGCAAAUGUAGGUUUUCUUUCACAACAUUCCUUAGCAUUUUGGGACCAAGAUUACCCCAAAUUUUGAACAUGGGAGGGGAUCAUUACUUCUUUCCGGUGGAAAUGGAAGAUUAGUUCAUGCCCUAACUGAAAAUGUGCCUAAUAUUUUUGAAAAAACUACGCAUGCCAUUCGUUAUAGUAGAGAUAGUGUGAAGAUGAUUACUAUGGGCCAAUUGUUUCAGAGAUAUAUGGCAUUGUACACCAUUCCUCUUAGAGUUUUGAAGAGUGGUUCUAUUAGGUUCAUUCCAGAGUUCCCUCAACAAAACGUGUACACAAUAAAAGAUUGGGUUUUGGACUGUUAAAUAAGGUUGCAAUGGUAUUUCCGUAUGUGUUUUGGAACUCCAAUGUUGAUAUAUUUGGUCAUGUUGUUGAUGAUUCUAGUUGUCGGGAUGAUGGAAAGCCUGUAGACAAGCAUUUGGAUAAAAAAGUGGAGGAUGCUUAUAAUGUACUUUGGGAUUAGGCAAGCAAGCUCCAAGAAGUUUUCUCAUGGAAGCACAUAUCCAUAUAGUCAUUACAAGAAUAUUAAAACUUAGAGAAAGUGAGUUCCCUUAUCACAAACUAGUAGAAGGGUCAAUUUCUUACUUGCCGGAGUCCAGAUGCGUAGAGUUAAAACAAUUCGCAGUUACAUUAGUUGUGAUAUCCCCAACAGAUAACGUGGUUCCAUUGCCUCUGCCAAAUUUUUUAGCCUUUCUGAGAAACAAGUUUUAAAGGGGAUCCGUUGAUGAGUCUUGGAUAUAGACUCAUUUAGGGCCUGUUAUACAUCGUUUAGUGUCCUCAAUACCUAUUUUGUGUUCUAAACUGAUGUUUUAAUGUUAAUAUGCAGAUAUAAAGGCAAAAGAGCAAGGCAAGGACAAAACUAGGGAAAAAGAUGAAAAAGGCUGAAGAUAGUGA
This 15105-nucleotide long non-coding RNA is filed under the name Solanum tuberosum (potato). RNAcentral's name for it is "long non-coding RNA (STUB_LNC007147)". The record is from RNAcentral. Lineage: Eukaryota; Viridiplantae; Streptophyta; Magnoliopsida; Solanales; Solanaceae.